Molecule: long non-coding RNA, 780 nt
Filed under: Gossypium raimondii (Peruvian cotton)
Lineage: Eukaryota; Viridiplantae; Streptophyta; Magnoliopsida; Malvales; Malvaceae
Description: long non-coding RNA (GRAI_LNC010030)
Source: RNAcentral
UCCAAAAUCCCUAACUAAGCCCGUGCCCUCCCUCCUCCCUUUUUUCCCAAUUCAAAAAUCUUCACCUCCGUCCACCCUUCUCCACCGAUCCACCUCCAGUCCCGGGUCCUCCACGGCUGACUGCUCCACCGCCAGUGCUUUUACGUCUUCUACCUUGGAUUUCUAAGGUAUAUUAACUUUUAUUCCUUUCCUUACACUGUAUUUUCUUUAACAUGUUCAGUUUGGUAAUAUCUUUUCUUCCCCAUAACAAUACAAAAAUAAACCAAAGCCUGAAAACAACCCAAGUAUAAUCUUAAGAAAAUGGAAAAACAGUAGCUCUACUUAACAAAGCAAAAUCAGUUCCUUUAAACCCAUCACCCAAAAUACCUUUCUUUUGCCACAGGUUUCUUCUUUCCUGAACUUAAACCUAUUCUGUUAUUCAACUUGCUUUUUUCCCUUUUCUGGGUAUCAAAUAAAUAUCCCUUUUUUUAAUAAAUAUUGGAUCUUUUUUUGCUGUUUGUUUUUGGAUUCAGGCUUUCAGGAUCUGAGAUUCUUCACAUAAGGUAUACCUCUAUACCCCUUUUUUGUUUCUCUCUUGGUGUUAAUUCUUGUUUUAUUUCGUAUUUCUUUUGAUUGAAUGAUCAUUGGGUGUUUUGUUUCAUGGGGGAAAAUGGGAUUUAAAUAGAUAUUGAAGGGUUAUUUUUAAUAAUUAUUAUUUGUUACUUCUUUCCAUGAAAAAAUGGGAUUUUAAGUAGAUAUCAGAGGGUUCUUUUUUAAUCUUUUUUUCUUUAGUUCAUUCUA